RNAcentral lists this ribosomal RNA (128 nucleotides) under Carnobacterium mobile. Its description in RNAcentral is "partial 23S ribosomal RNA". It matches the Rfam family "Bacterial large subunit ribosomal RNA", at positions 1 to 128 of the family's 2925-position model. Lineage: Bacteria; Bacillati; Bacillota; Bacilli; Lactobacillales; Carnobacteriaceae. The record is from RNAcentral.
GGUUAAGUUAAUAAGGGCGCACGGUGGAUGCCUUGGCACUAGGAGCCGAAGAAGGACGGGACUAACGCCGAUAUGCUUUGGGGAGCUGUAAGUAAGCUGUGAUCCAGAGAUUUCCGAAUGGGGAAACC